GGCGCACGGGUGAGAAACGCGUAGGUGAUCUACCUUUGCGACCGGAAUAACCAAUCGAAAGAUUGGCUAAUACUGGAUAGAGCGGAUUGACUGUAAGGGUUGAUUCGGGAAAGGGCGGCGUAGCAAUACGCUGUCGCGCUGAGAUGAGCCUGCGUCCCAUCAGCUAGUUGGUAGGGUAACGGCCUACCAAGGCAACGACGGGUAGCUGGUCUGAGAGGACGAUCAGCCACACUGGAACUGAAACACGGUCCAGACUCCUACGGGAGGCAGCAGUGGGGAAUCUUGCGCAAUGGACGAAAGUCUGACGCAGCGACGCCGCGUGGGUGAAGAAGGCCUUCGGGUUGUAAAGCCCUGUCGAGAGGGAAAAACGGCAUUAGUCAUAAUACGGCUGAUGCGUGAUGGUACCUCUAGAGGAAGCACCGGCUAACUCCGUG
Molecule: ribosomal RNA, 434 nt
Filed under: uncultured bacterium
Lineage: Bacteria
Description: bacterial SSU rRNA
Rfam family: Bacterial small subunit ribosomal RNA
Source: RNAcentral